UACGGAGGGAGCUAGCGUUGUUCGGAAUUACUGGGCGUAAAGCGUACGUAGGCGGUUAUUCAAGUCAGAGGUGAAAGCCCGGGGCUCAACCCCGGAACGCCCUUUGAAACUAGGUAGCUAGAGUCUUGGAGAGGUUAGUGGAAUUCCGAGUGUAGAGGUGAAAUUCGUAGAUAUUCGGAAGAACACCAGUGGCGAAGGCGACUAACUGGACAAGUACUGACGCUGAGGUACGAAAGCGUGGGGAGCAAACAGG
Molecule: ribosomal RNA, 253 nt
Filed under: uncultured bacterium
Lineage: Bacteria
Description: partial 16S ribosomal RNA
Rfam family: Bacterial small subunit ribosomal RNA
Source: RNAcentral